AACUUCCUAAUAUCUAGCCCCACCACUAAAAACAACAAACAACAUUAAUAAACCCCAAAGCCCUCCCCCACAAGUUAACAAACCAUUUUACCUCCUUAGUAUGGGCGACAGAAAAG
Molecule: ribosomal RNA, 116 nt
Filed under: Sagamia geneionema
Lineage: Eukaryota; Metazoa; Chordata; Actinopteri; Gobiiformes; Gobiidae
Description: partial 16S ribosomal RNA
Source: RNAcentral